This 544-nucleotide ribosomal RNA is filed under the name Fusarium sp. T14. Its description in RNAcentral is "eukaryotic LSU rRNA". The stretch from base 178 to 331 matches the Rfam family "5.8S ribosomal RNA". The record is from RNAcentral. Lineage: Eukaryota; Fungi; Ascomycota; Sordariomycetes; Hypocreales; Nectriaceae.
UCCGUAGGUGAACCUGCGGAGGGAUCAUUACCGAGUUUACAACUCCCAACCCCUGUGAACAUACCACUUGUUGCCUCGGCGGAUCAGCCCGCUCCCGGUAAAACGGGACGGCCCGCCAGAGGACCCCUAAACUCUGUUUCUAUAUGUAACUUCUGAGUAAAACCAUAAAUAAAUCAAAACUUUCAACAACGGAUCUCUUGGUUCUGGCAUCGAUGAAGAACGCAGCAAAAUGCGAUAAGUAAUGUGAAUUGCAGAAUUCAGUGAAUCAUCGAAUCUUUGAACGCACAUUGCGCCCGCCAGUAUUCUGGCGGGCAUGCCUGUUCGAGCGUCAUUUCAACCCUCAAGCACAGCUUGGUGUUGGGACUCGCGUUAAUUCGCGUUCCUCAAAUUGAUUGGCGGUCACGUCGAGCUUCCAUAGCGUAGUAGUAAAACCCUCGUUACUGGUAAUCGUCGCGGCCACGCCGUUAAACCCCAACUUCUGAAUGUUGACCUCGGAUCAGGUAGGAAUACCCGCUGAACUUAAGCAUAUCAAUAAGCGGAGGAA